CAAUAUUUCUAUUUGGUUUCGCGAAUCCGUAGUCCGUACACUAUAUAUACACCGUGCCUACAUAAUAUUAUUUUAUACAUUAUAAUAUAUUAUAUUAUAUUGCGUCUUCUUUUACUCACUAUCUCUGUCUUACACACACCUAACCUAAACCGACACACGACGCUGCAUAAAGCGAACGUGAGCAAUAAUAAUAAUUAUUAAGUUUAUUAUAAUAUACGGCGUGUGCGAUUCGUGCGUGGCGCAACGUCCGAGUAGUCAUUGUUAGAAGCGUGCACAACAGCACACACAUAAUAUACACACGCGAUGGUUUACCGACAAAUGUGCCGCUGGCUAUAAUAACCGUCUAUAUAGGUACCGAGUCAAUAACACAAGCCGUUUCAAAAAAUGGGAUCGUGGAGGAUAUGGUGACUAUAUAUGGACGAUACCAAAAAAAUUUCGUUAUGACUUGUGAGCAAUGUGUUUCCCGUUCUCCUGUUGAAGUUCCAAACCGCUCGCGUACCUACCAAAGUAAGCAAAGAUAUUGACGUAACUGCCUUAAGUGGCAUUAAUUCUAAUGCACGCAUGGCAUAUAGAUGAGUAUCAGAUUUUGAACAACCUCAGAAGAUUACAGGAAAUGUAAUAUGUUUAAUGACUGCGGACACAGACUUCUCUCGAAUUCAUGUCAAUCUGGCUACCCGGCCCGAUCAGCCGACUUCCUGUCCGUCUUCCGCAAUGCCCGGAAGUACUGCAUUACGGCUUAAUCGUCGUCGUCAUCUCUUCCGGCUGAAUAUAUGGACGUCAAAGAAAGUCGUUAUCGCCGGGUUGGACGAACGAACUGGAACUGAGAUGGCAUAAGUGAUCUAAACGAACGCUACGGGCCUACGGCUCAGCCAAAGUGGACUUCUAUUACAACUUCGAAAGUAAUACUAAUUUUAUUAAUAUACUAUGUACCUUAAUAUUCCGUAUCAAUAACCGCACUGUUAUUUCUUUGACGAUUUGUAAUAAAUACGCACCUACACGCAAACAUAAAAGAAAACAUUGGACCGAUCGAAUUUUUUUUAACAACCCUGAACUGCAUAAAGACAAAGAUGCAGGGAUGGCUCGUCAAGGGAGACUUUGAGACUGAGCCUCCCCUUAAAAAAAAGCAGCUACUUGUAAAUAUAAUGAUAAAUUAAAAAUAAAAAUAUAUAAAAGUUAUUGAAAACAUAUUAAAUCGUUUUCUUUGUUUAUUAUUAAAGGCCACAAA
This is an RNA transcript of Metopolophium dirhodum (rose-grain aphid), 1225 nucleotides long. RefSeq lists it as uncharacterized. The transcript has 5 exons. The record is from RefSeq and is a predicted model, not a curated record. Lineage: Eukaryota; Metazoa; Arthropoda; Insecta; Hemiptera; Aphididae.